RNAcentral lists this ribosomal RNA (559 nucleotides) under Salmonella enterica. RNAcentral describes it as "partial 23S ribosomal RNA". It matches the Rfam family "Bacterial large subunit ribosomal RNA", at positions 1 to 590 of the family's 2925-position model. Lineage: Bacteria; Pseudomonadati; Pseudomonadota; Gammaproteobacteria; Enterobacterales; Enterobacteriaceae. The record is from RNAcentral.
GGGUUGUGAGGUUAAGCGACUAAGCGUACACGGUGGAUGCCCUGGCAGUCAGAGGCGAUGAAGGGCGUGCUAAUCUGCGAUAAGCGCCGGUAAGGUGAUAUGAACCGUUAUAACCGGCGAUACCCGAAUGGGGAAACCCAGUGUGACUCGUCACACUAUCAUUAACUGAAUCCAUAGGUUAAUGAGGCGAACCGGGGGAACUGAAACAUCUAAGUACCCCGAGGAAAAGAAAUCAACCGAGAUUCCCCCAGUAGCGGCGAGCGAACGGGGAGGAGCCCAGAGCCUGAAUCAGCAUGUGUGUUAGUGGAAGCGUCUGGAAAGACGCGCGAUACAGGGUGACAGCCCCGUACACAAAAGCGCAUGUGCUGUGAGCUCGAUGAGUAGGGCGGGACACGUGGUAUCCUGUCUGAAUAUGGGGGGACCAUCCUCCAAGGCUAAAUACUCCUGACUGACCGAUAGUGAACCAGUACCGUGAGGGAAAGGCGAAAAGAACCCCGGCGAGGGGAGUGAAAAAGAACCUGAAACCGUGUACGUACAAGCAGUGGGAGCACCCUUUGGG